This 497-nucleotide ribosomal RNA is filed under the name uncultured bacterium. RNAcentral describes it as "partial 16S ribosomal RNA". It matches the Rfam family "Bacterial small subunit ribosomal RNA", at positions 28 to 507 of the family's 1533-position model. The record is from RNAcentral.
GAUGAACGCUGGCGGCGUGCCUAAUACAUGCAAGUCGAGCGAACACACGAGGAGCUUGCUCCUCUGACGUUAUCGGCGGACGGGUGAUUAACACGUGGACAACCUACCUAUAAGACUGGGAUAACUUCGGGAAACCGUAGCUAAUACCCGAUAAUAUAUUGAACCGCAUUGUUCAAUAGUGAAAGUCGGUUUUGCUGUCACUUAUAGCUUGCUCAGGCCCGCAUUAGUUAGUGGGUGAGGUCACUGCUUACCCACGCAACGAUGCGUAGCCGACCUGAAAGGGAGGACGGACACAUGGGAAGUGAGGAAGGGCCCACACACCGGCGCGGGGAAGCGGUAGAGACUCCUACGCGAUGCGGGAGAGCCUGACAGAGGACCGCCGGGUGAGUGAUGAAGGUGUUCGGACCGUAAAGCUAUGUUAUUAGGGGAGAAGAAAUGUGUAAGUACCUGUGCUGGUCUUGACGGUACCGAAAGAGAAAGCCACGGCUAACUACGUG